This is a long non-coding RNA of Oryzias latipes (Japanese medaka), 2978 nucleotides long. RefSeq lists it as uncharacterized. Lineage: Eukaryota; Metazoa; Chordata; Actinopteri; Beloniformes; Adrianichthyidae. The record is from RefSeq and is a predicted model, not a curated record.
GGAAGGGGGGGGGGGUCAUAGGAUAGCACAAGGGUUAACCUGACCAUGUUAAAUCCUGAUAGGGCUUGAACCAGCAACCCUCCAGCUGAAGACCAUGUAAUACUACGGUCACAUCUCCCAAAAUGCCACAGCGAGCCGACCUAAAUGCAAGUUUUUCAGCAAAAUUGGCAGGUGGCCGCGCAGCAGCGUUUGUAAUCGGGAGGGGGCAGUCGCGUUUUGACAUGCUGCGCAGAAGCCACCGAAGUUUUGAGAAAAACUUCAAAUCGAACGGCGACCUGACAAUUUUUUUGACAUUGGUCAGUGGUCGCUCGCUCACAUUUGGAGGUCACGCAGUGGCAGUACACUGACAGGAAAGCAGUAGCCCCACAAUUGACUGAUAGGAGGGUCUCCAAGGUCCCCAAAAUCGUUCGAUGAUGGGCCGAUUUCAGACUGCCGCCCUCCAGCCAUCCCCUUGCCAUCGUCCCACAGCCACCGUCUGAUUGUUAGAAAUCCUACGGUCGCACUGCGGGUACUCGAGAGCUAUUGACACGGGCCGGGGCCCAGCGAUGACCGGACAUCGAUCUGGUGAUCCCGGCCACCUGUGGGUCUAAAGGGGGAGACGGCACUGAGACCUGCGUCUUGAGGUAAUGCAGUUGAUGCUGAGAAAAAAAUUGUGCUUUCUAGGAGGCAUCUUACAUGAAAAUUAUUUCAUUUGUAAAUUAACAAGAUUCUAAUGCGCGCUCUAAAGCCGAGUUGAGAAUGACCAGUGAUGCAGAACGGGCCACUUUUAUAUACCCCCGGGCUACUGGCGGCCAGUGGCAUUUGAUAUGGACAUCUGCUGUCUGGACACAGUAACACAUCGUCCAAUCAGAGCUGCCGCCUGCCGGCAAUCCAGCUGCCACCGCCCUGUGGUCGCCCAGCUGUUUCCCGUUUUCGUAAAGGCGCCUGCCUGAGCGACAGAAGUCUGACUGCCACCGUCAUCAUUCAUGGCCAUGCCCCCAAUUUUCAAAAAUCGGUUGGCGGCAUGAAAUCUUGAAGAUUCUGCCGAUGCCUCCUCGUUUUAUAUGCGAUCGUUGCAUGAUGGUUGAACCAGCACUGGAUGCUGCCCAAAACUAUAAUGUUGCUGCUCAGAUCAAGUGCUCUUCCUGUGAAGGAAGGAAGGACAAACACACUUGUUUUCGAAGGUCUCCAUUGCAACCGUCUGUAAGAAUUCCACCAAACAAACAUGAGGUUCAAGGUAUAGAAUUUCUGAAACAGAGAAGAAAUGUUAGAGAAUCAACCAAACAGCAUUUCAGUAAAAUCAGGAAUCUGUAGAGGGAGCCAGAGAUUAAUAUUCAUGAUGGGCAAAUAGAGAAAAUGGACUAACCCGGUUUUUCCUGUUCUUCAAAAUCACAUCUGUUGAGUCAAACGUCUUGAUUCUUAUAUUAAUAUUCAAACGAAGGUGUGGGAGUGGGCGGCUGAAGAUGACUGCAUCAAAAGGGACAGCAUUAAAAAACCUCUGUAACACUAAAAGUCUGGAACACACCCCUCAUUUCAUACUCAGCGCUGAUGCUGUUUUGCUUUCUGCAGACAUCCAAAGAAUGUGUCUUUUCUGUUCUGAGCCUUUCCCUUCUUUGUCUGAGAAAAGGGUUCAGUAAAAGCCCCGCUGUAGUGUCAUUAGUCGUUUCCACAGCAGUGGGAUGGAAAUGAAUGCAUGAAAAUGAAACCCGUGCUUCCUCCACAUCAUUGCCCUGCUUUUUCAGGUAAUUUCUGAACAAAGUGAGAUUACAAGCAGAGUGUGUUCCAGCCCCAGCCUGCUUGUCAAACAUCCCUCAAGCAGAAAUCAAUAGGUCAUCAUCUCUACAUAUUACUACAUAUCAGGAGGGGCCCAGAGGAGGAGGAAGUGCAGGCCAGGAAUCUAACUACAAGGCUGGUAUGGGAUCAGAUCUUCUUCUUGUUUGUGUUUUUAAAUUUCAUAGAAGGUCUGUUUUUGUAACCUGCUGUGAUCCGUCUAAGUAUUUCAUCUGAUGUGGCUUUAAGACUCCAUAAAACAGAGAAGCUUUAUUCCCCUCUUGGGUCAAACAGCCCGGCAGCUAAAUUAAAAAUAUUUUCCUCCAAAACAUCGCUGCAGCAUCUCCCCGAGUGUUAAGAGUGCAUCAUGGAACACAUCAACCAUUGGCUAUUGUUUAAAAGUGCAUGAUAAUAACAGCAAUCAGUAAAAUGUCAAGGCCUCUGUGCUUAAACUCAACACACAGCCGCGCUCUUAACUGAAAUCCACUUAAAAUGUGCCGCUGAGUCGGAGUCAAUCAUUAAACAGCUCACUUUGAGAGUCUGAGCAGCGAUAGAUAUCGAUUGUCAUUUUUACAGGUCAUUUCCUCUGAAGAUGAUUAAUAUGUCUGUUUCUCAAUCACUGGAGCGUCCACAGACUGACAUCAGACACUCGGGAAGGCUCAGCCGAACAGGAGAGACCUGUGGGAAAUUUCUAGGGCUCUGGAUUUUGGAAUUGUAGAUUCAGACACAAUAGAAAAAGGAGAACACGCUAUAUAGUGAGCAGGGAUGGAAUUCGGACGUUACUCCCACUCGAUGAUGUCAUCAAUAGUCGCAGGUCAUCUACAUAACACAGCGUCAUGCGGAUUCAAAAACCUGUUUCGGAUACCCCCAUCCCUCCAAAUGCCCCUGCAGUCGGAGGGAGGUCGCAGGUUUUCUGCAGAAUCGGGUCCACUCUUUGGCAAAGUCUCGAUCCUCCUGGGUUGAUAAAAGGAAAACCCACCAAUACAAACUGAAAAAUGAUUAAAUAAAUGAGACAUUUCAUAAUACUCUAAAAUAAAUUCUCAAAAAUUCUCUUUUUUUUAUUGACAAUAAGUUUUUCUUGUACUUUGGCCUUUCUUUUUUAUUCAUUCUCAUUAUUGUACAAAUAGUGUUUGUAUUGAUAAUUGCAUUUCAGUAUUAAUCUGUAACAUUUUAUUCAACUUUACACAUUUUCAAAUCUGGAUAUUUCUGUGUAUUUCUCAACAAGGAAA